UCUAGUUCUUUGGAGCUAAAUCUAUACCCAUUUUUUCACAUUUUCUCUUUUAAAGAACUUUCCUCUGGUUCUUUGUUCCUCUUAUAAUUCCUAUGGUUCUGGUUCUUUGUUCCCUUACUCGGUUGUUCUUCCCACAUACAGCUCAAGAGAUACAAUUGUGCUCACCUUGAGAUUAUUCAUCUUACGGGUAUUACUCUCCUCUUUCUAUACUUUUUUUUCUCUUUGUACUCUGAGAAGUGUGCGACUUUGUUAUGCUCACAUGCACACAUCUACAUAGAAACGUAAAACUGAUGAAGAGGUUAACUAGUUUCAGAACAUGCUGAGUACAGAUGGCGACAAAGAUUAAUCAUGGCGACCAAAAUUGAAGUAAAAAAAGUUUAUGCAUUUGUGGAGUUGGCAACCAUUGAUAUAAAACAAUGCAUUUUCAGUUUUAGAAGUUGACAACUAGUGUCAAUCUUAUAGUUGCGUUUGGCUAUAAAUCCACUAAAAUAAUAAACAAUGAAAAAUUCACAAUAUUCAUGACUACAUAUUUUAAUUGCUUUGAAAAAAUCAAUUAGAAAAUUGUUUGAUUUUUUUGAUUGCUUUACUGGCUGAAACGAAUCUGUUCGUAUACACAAUAGAUGAGUACUUCGACGGUUGAAGUUGGUGGUGAAAAAGUGAAAGCAAUGUUGGAUAAGAGAUUGAUAGAAAUAUUUUGUGAUAUUUGUAUUAAAAAGAUAUUGAAAGGCAAUAGGCUUGAUACUCAUUUCACAAAAGAUGGAUGGUUGAAAAUAAUGACCAACUUUGAGAAAGAAACGGGCAAGGGUUUUUCACAGAGACAACUUAAAAAUAGGUGGGAUGCCCUAAAAAAAGAAUGGAAAGCUUGGAAGAAACUUAAAGGCGAAGAUACUAGUCUAGGGUGGAAUCCUAUAAAAAGAACUGUUUAUGCAUCGGAUGAUUGGUGGGAGAGUAGGCUACAGGUUGUGCCUGAAGCUUAAAAAUUUAGAGCAUCGGGCAUUGAUCUUGAAUUCGAAGGGAAGUUGGACCAAAUGUUCAUGGGGAUAGUUGCAACAGGUGAUAAAGCAUAGGCACCUUCUUCUGGUACACUCCGUAGUGAUUUUUUUGAGGAUGUUAACAACGAAAUACCUGAAGAGAAUGAAGAAGAAAAUGUGAGAAAUGAUGUUCACAUUUCAAAUGAUGUUCAAAUUGAUGGAAACGAUCAAAAAAGAAAAAAAUCCUGAGAUAUCAAGUUCACAUUUUAAAACUGGAAGAAAGAAAUCCUCAAAGCAAAUUGGAGGGGCUGCAAGAUUGUCCAGUCAAAUAGAAAAAUUAUGCAAUGCAGCUGACAAUAUGAGUCAAGCCACAUCUAGUUUGACUCCUGUUAUGGAUCCAUAUGGUAUUCUACAAGCAGUCAAAGUGCUUGACAGCAUGUUGGGAGAAGUUCCAAAAGCUAGUCCGCUAUACUUUUUCGCACUUAAAUUAUUGCUCAAUAAGGACAAGCGAAUUAUGUUUUUAUCAAUUAAUCCCAAGAUUAGAGUUUUGUGGCUUAAGACGGAAAUGGAGGAUAGUUGAAAAUUUUCUGAUUUUCUAGGGUUCAGAGAUAUCUAUUAUGUGACUAAACAACAAUGCUAAACUAGUUUUAUCAAUAGUUAUUUAUGUUUGGUUUUUGGAUAUUGAAUUUACGUUUUACUUAUUUAUGUGUAAUCUAGUUUUAUCAA
Long non-coding RNA from Gossypium raimondii (Peruvian cotton), 1697 nucleotides. RefSeq lists it as uncharacterized. Lineage: Eukaryota; Viridiplantae; Streptophyta; Magnoliopsida; Malvales; Malvaceae. The record is from RefSeq and is a predicted model, not a curated record. The transcript is spliced from 3 exons.